CUAACUGUAGGGUCUACACCUCACGGUAUUCGGUUUCAUCUCAAUUCUCUACCCCCACCCCUCUCAGGCUCUCACCUUCCUCCUCUCGCCUCCCUCGUACUGUGAUAAUACACACUCUCUCUCCUCGAAAGAGAUUGUGAAGUUCUCUCUACGACGGCAAGGCGUCUCUUUACUCCAUGGCAUCCUACCACCUUCUCUAUUGUUGUCUUCAAGCUCUCUAAUCCCGCGACAACGACCUGACUAUGGAGCUUGUGAGUGCAAAGUAUUGCUCAUGAGUCGUAUUGCAGAAUGGAAUUCAUGGUGUCUGUGUGAUCACAUUGGUGCAAAAGAAUUGGGUGCGAGAUUCAUGUAGGAAGAAGGCAUUUUAAUGUAUUUGAGGAGUGAGGACUGUAGUGGAGGAAGGAGCUUUCGACCAUGCUAGAAGCUAUUUUGAGAAAUAUCACAGUAGAUUUCUUCUUUGCAUACAACUUUCGAUCAUGCACUUAGAGUCUUGUUGUAAACACAAGGACUAUAUGAUAGUACAUAGUAGCUUAGAGAUGUAGUUUCUCUUUUCUUUAAUGUUUCCUCCUGCAUCUUUUAUAUAGCGCCUAACUUGAUAAGACUAAUAUAGACAUCUAAGCUUAACAAUUUAUGUUUUAAAGUGUUAUAGCAUUCUUUGAUCAGGAUGACUGGUCCUAUGAGAUCAAAUUCUGGGAAAAUGCCCCCUUAUCGUCUGUCCUAAUCUAGUGAGCUUGCACUGUUGAUGUUAUAUGUCAGAGCAAAUAUACAAGCUUCUCUGCUCUCCAAAAGUAAUGUACCAAUACAAACAAUGCAGGAACGUCACUGGAACAUCACUGCCGUUACAUUAACAUCACAUUGAAUUGAGAUACCCGUGCAAUUAAACAUGUUGAGGAACUAGUCAACAAGUAUUAUGACCUGGUUACUAGUUUCUACUAGUUUGGCUGGGGAGAGUCUUUUCAUUUUGCUCACAGAUGGAAUGGAUAAUCUCUGAGUGAAAGCAUCAAACGCCAUGACCACUUCCUUGCUUUGUAACUAGAACUGAAACCUGGACAGAAGGUGUUGGAUGUAGGAUGUGGUAUUGGAGGACCACUCACGGAAAUUUCUAGAUUCAGUAAAGUUAUGAAGUCUUAGAUUGGUAGCUCAACAUCUGUGACAGGGUUGAACAAUAAUGAAUAUCAAAUUACAAGGGGAAGUUUUAAUAUGGCAAACAACAAUUCAUUCAACAUUCGAUCAAUUCUCGAAAAGGAGAAGUUGAACGGGAAAAAACUUCCUUAACUGGCAAAGGAACUUGCAAAUAGUUCUUAUGCAGGAAGGAAAGGAGUAUGUCCUGGAAGAGGCGAUGCCCGAAGCUGCAGGCGAAGGGGACACUCAGGCAGCCCUCAGUCGUUGGAUUGAAUCCAACAAGGAUGUGAAAUGUCUAAUGCUUGCAACCAUGGGUGCAGAUCUGCAGAAAACGUUCAUCAACUCAGAUGCUUUCACGAUCAUCAGUGAGUUAAGGAACAUGUUUCAAGAUCUGGCUCGAUUCGAAAGGUUCGAGACCCAUAGGCAAAUUCUUGAGACCAAGCUUAAGAAAGGCGAGCCCGUAAGUCCACAUGUUCUCAAAAUGAUUGGACUCAUUGAGAAUAUGAGUCGGCUGGACCAGCAGUUCUCUCAGGAAAUGGUUGUAGACACCAUCCUCCAUUCUCUUCAUAGCGGGUAUGAUCAGUUCAAGCUGAACUACAGUAUGAAUAGUCUGGAUAAAACGCUCACUGAGCUUCACGGUAUGCUGAAGACCGCUGAAAAGACGCUCAAAAGUGAUAAGCAAGAUGUGCUUAUGGUGCGUGGGGGCAAGUUCAAGAAAUCUGGAAAGAAGAGGAAUGCUAAGAAAGGUGGAAACAAGGCCAGCCAGACUAAGAAGCCAGGCGGCACCAAAUCUGAAAAGAAGAAGGUGAGCCAACCUACUUCUGAAUCUGAAUGCUUCUAUUGCAAGAAGAAGGGGCAUUGGAAGAGAGAUUGCUUGAAGCUAAAGGAAGAUCAGAAGAACGAAACAGUCGUUCCAUCUUCAGGGACUAAGAAGAAGUAGAAGGUUAAGCAAGGGUGAAGUCGACCUACGAGUGGGAAAUGGAGCACGAAUUGCUGCAUUAGCUGUAAGAACUUAUUAUUUGUCGUUGCCCUCUGGGCUAGUUUUGGAACUGGAAGACUGUUUCCAUGUUCCAAGUCUUACUAAAAACAUCAUUUCUGUUUCUUGCUUAGAUGCUAAGGGAUUUUCCUUUUUA
Molecule: long non-coding RNA, 2255 nt
Organism: Spinacia oleracea (spinach)
Lineage: Eukaryota; Viridiplantae; Streptophyta; Magnoliopsida; Caryophyllales; Amaranthaceae
Exons: 9
Source: RefSeq, a predicted model, not a curated record